RNAcentral lists this long non-coding RNA (298 nucleotides) under Dermacentor andersoni. RNAcentral describes it as "uncharacterized LOC126534001". The record is from RNAcentral. Lineage: Eukaryota; Metazoa; Arthropoda; Arachnida; Ixodida; Ixodidae.
GCAGGAAGUUUGAUAUAAGGUUCUUCGUAGAAGGCCCUGGAGAAAGACUCCUUGCCGAAGAAGAAAACGACGCACUGCCAUACGGAAUUUAUGGUUUUCCAGUUCUUCACGCCGACAAAGACUGCAUCAUUCUGUCGAGGAUGCCACCAUAUGGAAACAAAACGCUAUGCACGUACUGGGUUCGCAGAAGUGUUGUUGGAAAUCUCAACUGGAAAUGUAACUUCAUAUUCGACGCCUUUUGCAGGUCACAAGCGAUUGUGGUGAAAGACAUGAAAUCUUGCCAAUAAACACACGAAAA